AUUGAACGCUGGCGGCAGGCCUAACACAUGCAAGUCGAGCGGAUGAAGGGAGCUUGCUCCUGGAUUCAGCGGCGGACGGGUGAGUAAUGCCUAGGAAUCUGCCUGGCAGUGGGGGAUAACGUCCGGAAACGGGCGCUAAUACCGCAUACGUCCUGAGGGAGAAAGUGGGGGAUCUUCGGACCUCACGCUAUCAGAUGAGCCUAGGUCGGAUUAGCUAGUUGGUGGGGUAAAGGCCUACCAAGGCGACGAUCCGUAACUGGUCUGAGAGGAUGAUCAGUCACACUGGAACUGAGGCACGGUCCAGACUCCUACGGGAGGCAGCAGUGGGGAAUAUUGGACAAUGGGCUAAAGCCUGAUCCAGCCAUGCCGCGUGUGUGAAGAAGGUCUUCGGAUUGUAAAGCACUUUAAGUUGGGAGGAAGGGCAGUAAGUUAAUACCUUGCUGUUUUGACGGUACCAACAGAAUAAGCACCGGCUAACUUCGUG
Molecule: ribosomal RNA, 484 nt
Filed under: uncultured bacterium
Lineage: Bacteria
Description: partial 16S ribosomal RNA
Rfam family: Bacterial small subunit ribosomal RNA
Source: RNAcentral